AUUGAACGCUGGCGGCAUGCCUUACACAUGCAAGUCGAACGGUAACGGGUCCUUCGGGAUGCCGACGAGUGGCGAACGGGUGAGUAAUAUAUCGGAACGUGCCCAGUAGUGGGGGAUAACUGCUCGAAAGAGCAGCUAAUACCGCAUACGACCUGAGGGUGAAAGGGGGGGAUCGCAAGACCUCUCGCUAUUGGAGCGGCCGAUAUCAGAUUAGCUAGUUGGUGGGGUAAAGGCCUACCAAGGCAACGAUCUGUAGUUGGUCUGAGAGGACGACCAGCCACACUUGGACUGAGACACUGCCCAGACUCCUACGGGAGGCAGCAGUGGGGAAUUUUGGACAAUGGGCGCAAGCCUGAUCCAGCAAUGCCGCGUGCAGGAAGAAGGCCUUCGGGUUGUAAACUGCUUUUGUCAGGGAAGAAAUCUUCUGGGCUAAUACCCCGGGAGGAUGACGGUACCUGAAGAAUAAGCACCGGCUAACUACGUGCCAGCCGCCGCGGUAA
This 500-nucleotide ribosomal RNA is filed under the name uncultured bacterium. RNAcentral describes it as "partial 16S ribosomal RNA". It matches the Rfam family "Bacterial small subunit ribosomal RNA", at positions 30 to 523 of the family's 1533-position model. The record is from RNAcentral.